GACUCUCGGCAACGGAUAUCUCGGCUCUCGCAUCGAUGAAGAACGUAGCGAAAUGCGAUACUUGGUGUGAAUUGCAGAAUCCCGUGAACCAUCGAGUCUUUGAACGCAAGUUGCGCCCGAAGCCGUCAGGGCGAGGGCACGCCUGCCUGGGCGUCACGC
RNAcentral lists this ribosomal RNA (159 nucleotides) under Acacia flexifolia. RNAcentral describes it as "5.8S ribosomal RNA". It matches the Rfam family "5.8S ribosomal RNA". From Rfam's summary of the family: 5.8S ribosomal RNA (5.8S rRNA) is a component of the large subunit of the eukaryotic ribosome. It is transcribed by RNA polymerase I as part of the 45S precursor that also contains 18S and 28S rRNA. The record is from RNAcentral. Lineage: Eukaryota; Viridiplantae; Streptophyta; Magnoliopsida; Fabales; Fabaceae.